This 229-nucleotide long non-coding RNA is filed under the name Struthio camelus australis. Its description in RNAcentral is "lncRNA (ENSSCUG00000004506.1)". The record is from RNAcentral. Lineage: Eukaryota; Metazoa; Chordata; Aves; Struthioniformes; Struthionidae.
UCUUGCGUGGGCCUGCCAGCUGGUGGCUGUGUCCCCUUCUCCGAGGACCUCCCGUCAGGCUUCGAGCAGGAUGUGGACGGAGCCCCUGGGCUUGCAGGAGCCUGCCAAGACAUGCCAGCCACAGGGGACAGCAAUGGUGACGAGGACUUGGCGCAUGGGGUGAGACAGGACUCCCCAGGCACCUCAGUGCCACUGCCAGUGCUGGCAGGCUGCCUGCAGGGAGCCUUCA